AAGAUAAAAACAAGCCACGAAACACGGAAAAAAAAGACGAGCUCACGUCAGUUUUUCGAUCGAUUUUCUCUCUCUUCAUUUUAAUUUUUCCUGACAUUUCCUC
This 103-nucleotide non-coding RNA is filed under the name uncultured Chlorophyceae. Lineage: Eukaryota; Viridiplantae; Chlorophyta; Chlorophyceae. The record is from RNAcentral.